AACGUAGGAGACAAACGUUAUCCGGAGUUACUGGGCGUAAAGGGCGUGCAGGCGGUCUGUUAAGUUCGGCGUGAAAGCGCCUGGCUAAACCGGGCGAGGUCGUCGGAGACUGGCAGACUAGAGGGUGAUAGAGGCGGGUGGAAUUCCGGGUGUAGUGGUGAAAUGCGUAGAGAUCCGGAGGAACACCAGUGGCGAAGGCGACCCGCUGGGUCACACCUGACGCUGAGACGCGACAGCAUGGGGAGCGAACGGG
Molecule: ribosomal RNA, 253 nt
Filed under: uncultured bacterium
Lineage: Bacteria
Description: partial 16S ribosomal RNA
Rfam family: Bacterial small subunit ribosomal RNA
Source: RNAcentral